Molecule: transfer RNA, 73 nt
Filed under: Lingula anatina
Lineage: Eukaryota; Metazoa; Brachiopoda; Lingulata; Lingulida; Lingulidae
Rfam family: tRNA
About the family: Transfer RNA (tRNA) molecules are approximately 80 nucleotides in length. Their secondary structure includes four short double-helical elements and three loops (D, anti-codon, and T loops).
Source: Rfam by way of RNAcentral
AGCUGGAUAGCUCAGGCAGUAGAGCACUUGCCCUGUUAGCGAGAGGUCCCGGGUUCGAUCCCUGGUCUGGUAG